UCCCUAGCGGCUCAGAGGUUAAAGCGUCUGCCUGCAGUGCAGGAGACCUGGGUUUGAUCCCUGGGUUGGGAA
Molecule: transfer RNA, 72 nt
Organism: Ovis aries (sheep)
Lineage: Eukaryota; Metazoa; Chordata; Mammalia; Artiodactyla; Bovidae
Rfam family: tRNA
About the family: Transfer RNA (tRNA) molecules are approximately 80 nucleotides in length. Their secondary structure includes four short double-helical elements and three loops (D, anti-codon, and T loops).
Source: Rfam